AACGAACGCUGGCGGCAUGCCUAACUCAUGCAAGUCGAACGAGACCUUCGGGUCUAGUGGCGCACGGGUGCGUAACGCGUGGGAACCUGCCUUUAGGUUCGGAAUAACUCAGGGAAAUUUGAGCUAAUACCGGAUGAUGUCUUCGGACCAAAGAUUUAUCGCCUUUAGAUGGGCCCGCGUUGGAUUAGCUAGUUGGUGGGGUAAAGGCCUACCAAGGCGACGAUCCAUAGCUGGUCUGAGAGGAUGAUCAGCCACACUGGGACUGAGACACGGCCCAGACUCCUACGGGAGGCAGCAGUGGGGAAUAUUGGACAAUGGGCGAAAGCCUGAUCCAGCAAUGCCGCGUGAGUGAUGAAGGCCUUAGGGUUGUAAAGCUCUUUUACCCGAGAUGAUAAUGACAGUAUCGGGAGAAUAAGCUCCGGCUAACUCCGUG
RNAcentral lists this ribosomal RNA (433 nucleotides) under uncultured bacterium. RNAcentral describes it as "partial 16S ribosomal RNA". It matches the Rfam family "Bacterial small subunit ribosomal RNA", at positions 29 to 507 of the family's 1533-position model. The record is from RNAcentral.